GAUGAACGCUGGUGGCGUGCCUAUCCCUGCCAGUCGCGCGAACAGACGAGGAGCUUGCUCCUCUGACGUUAGCGGCGGACGGGUGAGUAACACGUGGAUAACCUACCUAUAAGACUGGGAUAACUUCGGGAAACCGGAGCUAAUACCGGAUAAUAUAUUGAACCGCAUGGUUCAAUAGUGAAAGACGGUUUUGCUGUCACUUAUAGAUGGAUCCGCGCCGCAUUAGCUAGUUGGUAAGGUAACGGCUUACCAAGGCGACGAUGCGUAGCCGACCUGAGAGGGUGAUCGGCCACACUGGAACUGAGACACGGUCCAGACUCCUACGGGAGGCAGCAGUAGGGAAUCUUCCGCAAUGGGCGAAAGCCUGACGGAGCAACGCCGCGUGAGUGAUGAAGGUCUUCGGAUCGUAAAACUCUGUUAUUAGGGAAGAACAAAUGUGUAAGUAACUAUGCACGUCUUGACGGUACCUAAUCAGAAAGCCACGGCUAACUACGUG
RNAcentral lists this ribosomal RNA (496 nucleotides) under uncultured bacterium. RNAcentral describes it as "partial 16S ribosomal RNA". It matches the Rfam family "Bacterial small subunit ribosomal RNA", at positions 28 to 507 of the family's 1533-position model. The record is from RNAcentral.